RNAcentral lists this ribosomal RNA (600 nucleotides) under Triticum aestivum (bread wheat). Its description in RNAcentral is "partial small subunit ribosomal RNA". The record is from RNAcentral. Lineage: Eukaryota; Viridiplantae; Streptophyta; Magnoliopsida; Poales; Poaceae.
AUGGUACAAUUGUCACAUGGGUCCGAUGUAUUUUGUUGGAACCUACAUGGGAAUGGGCAAUUCUCAGUGGAGUAUGUGUAUAGAGCUUUGAUCCAGUCUGACGUGCCAGUUGAUAAUAAUAAGAUCUGGAAGAUGAAGAUACCUCUUAAGAAUAUAAUCUUUGCAUGAUAUCUUUGUCGCGGAGUCAUUCUUACUAAACAUAACCUUAUUAAGAGGAAUUCACAUGGAAGUACGCAAUGUGUAUUUUGUCCGCAUGAUGAGACAAUAAAACAUUUGUUCUUCCAAUGUAAAUUGGCUCGUUCUAUAUGGUCAGUCAUCCAAAUAGCUUAUGACUUGUAUCCUCUUUGUAGUGUUGCUAAUAUAUUUGGCAACUGGUUACAUAGGAUUGAUCAUAGGUUUAGUGAUGCGGAGCAUCCCACGACCAUCCCCAUGGACGCCACCUCAACUAUCCAAGCUCCAAGUGGACCAAUGACAAGGGCUAGGGCACGUGCUAUUCAAUCCGAGGUGACAUCACUCCUACUUGAGUUUUCCCCCUCUUCAAGUGAGACAUGGCUACUGCCUAAGUCCGAGAUACUAUGUGUCAUCAGGUACAACGCUUAA